Molecule: ribosomal RNA, 253 nt
Filed under: uncultured bacterium
Lineage: Bacteria
Description: partial 16S ribosomal RNA
Rfam family: Bacterial small subunit ribosomal RNA
Source: RNAcentral
UACGAGGGGGGCAAGCGUUGUUCGGAAUUAUUGGGCGUAAAGGGCGCGUAGGCGGUGCGGUAAGUCACCUGUGAAAACUCUGGGCUCAACUCAGAGCCUGCAGGCGAAACUGCCGUGCUUGAGUGUGGGAGAGGUGCGUGGAAUUCCCGGUGUAGCGGUGAAAUGCGUAGAUAUGUGGAGGAACACCAGUGGCGAAGGCGACUCUUUGGCCUGUAACUGACGCUGAGGCGCGAAAGCGUGGGGAGCAAACAGG